AUACGGAGGAUGCGAGCGUUAUCCGGAUUUAUUGGGUUUAAAGGGAGCGUAGGUGGGAUAUUAAGUCAGCUGUGAAAGUUUGGGGCUCAACCUUAAAAUUGCAGUUGAUACUGGUUUCCUUGAGUACGGUACAGGUGGGCGGAAUUCGUGGUGUAGCGGUGAAAUGCUUAGAUAUCACGAAGAACUCCGAUCGCGAAGGCAGCUCUCCGGGCCGGAACUGACACUGAUGCUCGAAAGUGCGGGUAUCAAACAGGAUUAGAUACCCUAGUAGUCCGCACAGUAAACGAUGAAUACUCGCUGUUUGCGAUACACUGUAAGCGGCCAAGCGAAAGCGUUAAGUAUUCCACCUGGGGAGUACGCCGGCAACGGUGAAACUCAAAGGAAUUGACGGG
RNAcentral lists this ribosomal RNA (392 nucleotides) under uncultured bacterium. RNAcentral describes it as "partial 16S ribosomal RNA". It matches the Rfam family "Bacterial small subunit ribosomal RNA", at positions 523 to 917 of the family's 1533-position model. The record is from RNAcentral.